GAAAUGCGAUAAGUAGUGUGAAUUGCAGAAUUCAGUGAAUCAUCGAAUCUUUGAACGCACAUUGCGCCCUUUGGUAUUCCAAAGGGCAUGCCUGUUCGAGCGUCAUUUGUACCCUCAAGCUUUGCUUGGUGUUGGGCGUCUUGUCUCUAGCUUUGCUGGAGACUCGCCUUAAAGUAAUUGGCGGCCGGCCUACUGGUUUCGGAGCGCAGCACAAGUCGCACUCUCUAUCAGCAAAGGUCUAGCAUCCAUUAAGCCUUUUUUUCAACUUUUGACCUCGGAUCAGGUAGGGAUACCCGCUGAACUUAAGC
RNAcentral lists this unclassified non-coding RNA (308 nucleotides) under plant metagenome. RNAcentral describes it as "partial contains 5.8S ribosomal RNA, internal transcribed spacer 2, and large subunit ribosomal RNA". The stretch from base 1 to 105 matches the Rfam family "5.8S ribosomal RNA", at positions 50 to 154 of the family's 154-position model. The record is from RNAcentral.